GAAGAUAACAUUGUAAAUUGAUAAUUUCCGAGUGUUCAAUUUUUUGGUUGCUGUUUCGAGGGUUUUCCUAAAAGGAUCGGAUUUUAGGUAUUUCUCGUGAUUAUGGUUGAGUGGUUAAUUCAAGCGUAAAAUGAACCCAAAAGAAGGAGAAGAAUGAAGAUAGUGACCUACAACGUGAACGGAUUGAGACCUCGAAUCUCACAGUUCGGUUCUCUUCGCAAAUUGCUCGAUUCCUUUGAUGCCGACAUCAUCUGCUUUCAGGAAACGAAGCUGUCGAGGCAAGAGUUUAGAGCUGAUUUGGUGCAGGCUGAGGGUUACGAGUCCUUUUUCUCUUGCACUCGCACUACUGAGAAAGGCCGAACUGGAUAUUCUGGUGUGGCGACAUUUUGCCAUGUCAACUCUGUGUUUUCGAGUGAUGAGGUAUCUUUGCCAGUCUCUGCCGAGGAGGGCUUUACUGGUGUUCUUAAGGAUUUCUCAGUUUCGGGGUACAGAAAAAUUGAAUAUUCACCACUAAUCGAAGGGCUAGAAGAUUUUUCUGCUGAGGAGCUUCUGAAAAUUGAUGGUGAAGGACGUUGUAUAAUUACUGACCAUGAACAUUUUGUUCUUUUUAAUAUUUAUGGACCUAGAGCUGUAGCCGAUGAUACAGAAAGAAUCCAAUUCAAGCAUAACUUUUUCAACAUACUGCAGAAAAGGUGGGAAUCCCUUCUACAUCAGGGUCGGAGAAUAUUUGUUGUUGGGGACCUCAACAUUUCCCCCUUUGCGAUAGAUUGUUGUGAUGCUGGGCCCGAUUUUGAGAAAAAUAAAUUUAAAUCUUGGUUUAGAUCUUUGCUCGUAAAUAAUGGAGGUGCCUUUUUUUAUGUUUUCCGGGAAAAACAUCCUCAGAGAAGAGAAGCCUACACCUGCUGGCCGACAAAUAGUGGUGCAGAGGAGUUCAACUUUGGGACACGUAUUGAUCACAUUCUUGGUGCUGGGCCAUGCUUACAUAAGGAAGAAACUCAAGGACAUAGCCUCAUAGCUUGCCAUGUUAAAGAGUGCGACAUAUUAGAUCAGUUUAAACGUUGGAAACCUGGUAGUACACCCAGGCAUAAAGAACAAAAGACUAGAAACGGUAAAAUGGAGGGCUCGGAUCAUGCUCCUGUGUACGUGAGCUUGAUAGAUAUCCCCAAUGCUCAACCACACAAUACUCCUUCACUGUCUACUAGAUAUUGUCCCCAGGUCUAUGGAUGUCAGCAGACACUAGUGUCGAUGUUUGCAAGAAGGCAAUCUGCAGAAGAUAGUAACUUAUCUGGAGGAUCCAAUUCUAUUUCAGAUGAUAGUAAUGUCUUAGAAAAAUGCAGUCAACUCAAUAAAAGAACUCUGCAUUCAUGUAGUUCAGCUUCAUCAGACUUCAUCCAUCAAGGCAUACUUUGCACAUCAGAUGACAGUUGUAGUGACUCAUUUACUGAACCAUCUUCUGGUGCUCAAACUUUCUCUGCAUCUGGUCAUACUAAAUCCUCAGUGGUUUGCAAGAAAAAAGCAAGGAAGAGUCAAUCAUCUCAACUUUCACUAAAAUCAUUUUUCCAGAAAACAGUAGGUGGCCGUAGUGAGUCAACCAGUUUUUGUUCUAAUAAGGAGCUUACUCAAGAAGAUUUCUCCAUUGGUGAACCAAGUGAAACUUUUAUUGAAGGUUGUGAACAUAAUGAAGUGAAGGAAUUGCAGGAAAAAGCCACAAAACAAUGUGGAUCAGUGCAAGAGGAUAUGUCUCAAUCUGCUGAAAAGAAGAAUAAUAAUGCUCUAGUUGAAUGGCAAAGGAUUCAACAACUAAUGCAAACUAGCAUACCUCUUUGCAAGGGCCACAAGGAACCUUGUGUCUCCCGUGUAGUGAAGAAACCAGGGCCUACUUUAGGGCAACGAUUUUAUGCCUGCGCACGUGCAGAGGGACCUGCAUCUAAUCCAGAAGCAAACUGUGGAUUCUUUAAAUGGGCUACUGCAAAGUCGAAGAAGAAAAGAUGAUUUUGAUGUAACGAGCCUUGAAGGUUUUGAUCAAUAUUAAGAUUCCGCUAUGUGCGACUUCUUAAACUCCCUCUGUUGUCCAAGAAGGGCUGGCUAUAAGGGCAGUUCAUAUCUGAAGUGGGUCGUAGUUAUCAUGAUGUACACAGUUGGCAAAGAAUGUUUUUGUGGAGGCCGGGGUUUGUUGUGUUCUAGUUGCCCAUUUAUUUUGAUAACUGUCUUAUGCUGAAUUUGUAUGUAUGGCUGUGUGAUAGUUCACAUGGCCUUUUAUAUGGUGCCCACAAACAUUUCAUAGUCAGUUUUAGCCCUCUGGUUUAUCCUCAGCAUAAUACCCAAGAUAGCAAUAGAUGUGAUCUGUGUUUUUGUAUGGUUGUGGAGAUUUAAAAGAAGUCUGUCGGGCUAAUAGAGUGCAGAAGGGCAUGGCUCGUCUUUGGUAUGAUCGCAUAAUUGUCGUCCAGAAUGAUUGAACUGUAUCACAACUCCAUUGUGAACUUGUGUAAAUAUGGCUGCUUGAACUCGACACGUAUCACGCCGAAUC
Molecule: RNA transcript, 2527 nt
Organism: Salvia splendens (bonfire salvia)
Lineage: Eukaryota; Viridiplantae; Streptophyta; Magnoliopsida; Lamiales; Lamiaceae
Gene name: DNA-(apurinic or apyrimidinic site) endonuclease 2
Exons: 11
Source: RefSeq, a predicted model, not a curated record